AGCAGCCGCGGUAAUUCCAGCUCCAAUAGCGUAUAUUAAAGUUGUUGCAGUUAAAAAGCUCGUAGUUGAAUUUCGGGAUUAAUAUGUUGGUCGUGCCUUGGUACGUACUGGCAUUAUUGGUUCCUACCUUCUGAAGAACCUCGAUGUCAUUAAUUUGGUGUCUUGGGGAAUCAGGACUGUUACUUUGAAAAAAUUAGAGUGUUUAAAGCAGGCUCGCGCUUGAAUACAUUAGCAUGGAAUAAUGAAAUAGGACGUUUGAUUCUAUUUUGUUGGUUUCUAGGAUCGACGUAAUGAUUAAUAGGGAUAGUUGGGGGCAUUAGUAUUCAAUUGUCAGAGGUGAAAUUCUUGGAUUUAUUGAAGACUAACUACUGCGAAAGCAUUUGCCAAGGAUGUUUUCAUUAAUCAAGAACGAAAGUUAGGGGAUCGGAGACGAUCAGAUACCGUCGUAGUCUUAACCAUAAACUAUGCCGACUAGGGAUCGGAUGAUGUUAAUUUUUAAUGACUCAUUCGGCGCCUUAAC
This 520-nucleotide unclassified non-coding RNA is filed under the name uncultured Glomus. RNAcentral's name for it is "SSU rRNA". It matches the Rfam family "Eukaryotic small subunit ribosomal RNA", at positions 569 to 1092 of the family's 1831-position model. Lineage: Eukaryota; Fungi; Glomeromycota; Glomeromycetes; Glomerales; Glomeraceae. The record is from RNAcentral.